This is a small nuclear RNA of Rattus norvegicus (Norway rat), 83 nucleotides long. Ensembl annotates it as U2 spliceosomal RNA. The record is from Ensembl. NCBI's taxonomy places the organism in Eukaryota, Metazoa, Chordata, Mammalia, Rodentia, Muridae.
AUCGCUUCUCGGCCUUUUGGCUAAGAUCAAGUGUAGUAUCAAGUGUAAAAGUAUAAGGAAAAUUUUAGUAUCACAAAACUAUU